AAAAAGAUAAGCUAAGCGUAAGCUAAUGGGCUCAUACCCCAUCCAUGUGAAUUCUUCACUCUUUUUU
RNAcentral lists this transfer RNA (67 nucleotides) under Panulirus polyphagus. RNAcentral describes it as "tRNA-Met". The record is from RNAcentral. Lineage: Eukaryota; Metazoa; Arthropoda; Malacostraca; Decapoda; Palinuridae.